This 506-nucleotide ribosomal RNA is filed under the name uncultured bacterium. RNAcentral's name for it is "partial 16S ribosomal RNA". It matches the Rfam family "Bacterial small subunit ribosomal RNA", at positions 29 to 523 of the family's 1533-position model. The record is from RNAcentral.
AGUGAACGCUGGCGGUAGGCCUAACACAUGCAAGUCGAACGGCAGCACAGGAGAGCUUGCUCUCUGGGUGGCGAGUGGCGGACGGGUGAGGAAUACAUCGGAAUCUACUCUGUCGUGGGGGAUAACGUAGGGAAACUUACGCUAAUACCGCAUACGACCUACGGGUGAAAGCAGGGGAUCUUCGGACCUUGCGCGAUUGAAUGAGCCGAUGUCGGAUUAGCUAGUUGGCGGGGUAAAGGCCCACCAAGGCGACGAUCCGUAGCUGGUCUGAGAGGAUGAUCAGCCACACUCGAACUGAGACACGGUCCAGACUCCUACGGGAGGCAGCAGUGGGGAAUAUUGGACAAUGGGCGCAAGCCUGAUCCAGCCAUACCGCGUGGGUGAAGAAGGCCUUCGGGUUGUAAAGCCCUUUUGUUGGGAAAGAAAUCCAGCUGGCUAAUACCCGGUCGGGAUGACGGUACCCAAAGAAUAAGCACCGGCUAACUUCGUGCCAGCCGCCGCCGUAA